RNAcentral lists this ribosomal RNA (923 nucleotides) under uncultured Bacteroidota bacterium. RNAcentral describes it as "bacterial SSU rRNA". It matches the Rfam family "Bacterial small subunit ribosomal RNA", at positions 48 to 969 of the family's 1533-position model. Lineage: Bacteria; Pseudomonadati; Bacteroidota. The record is from RNAcentral.
CAUAUACAUGCAAGUUGAACGAGAUUAGUUUUAGCAAUAGAACUUUUUUAGUGGCGCACGGGUGCGUAACGCGUAUGCAACCUACCUUAAACAGGGGAAUAGCCUCUCGAAAGAGAGAUUAAUACCGCAUAAUAUAUAUUUGGAGCAUUCUAGAUAUAUUAAACCUACGGGGGUUUAAGAUGGGCAUGCGUGACAUUAGCUAGUCGGUGAGGUAAUGGCUCACCAAGGCAACGAUGUCUAGGGGGUCUGAGAGGAUGUCCCCCCACGCUGGUACUGAGACACGGACCAGACUCCUACGGGAGGCAGCAGUAGGGAAUAUUGGUCAAUGGAGGCAACUCUGAACCAGCCAUGCCGCGUGCAGGACUAAGGCCCUAUGGGUCGUAAACUGCUUUUGAACGGGAAGAAAUGUAUCUACGUGUAGAUAUUUGACGGUACCGUUAGAAUAAGGAUCGGCUAACUUCGUGCCAGCAGCCGCGGUAAUACGAAGGAUCCAAGCGUUGUCCGGAUUUACUGGGUUUAAAGGGUGCGUAGGCGGACUUAUAAGUCAGUGGUGAAAGCCUUCAGCUUAACUGAAGAACUGCCAUUGAAACUGUAAGUCUCGAGUUCGGUUGAGGUCAUUGGAAUGUAACAUGUAGCGGUGAAAUGCAUAGAUAUGUUACAGAACACCAAUUGCGAAGGCAGAUGACUAAACCGAAACUGACGCUGAGGCACGAAAGCGUGGGGAUCAAACAGGAUUAGAUACCCUGGUAGUCCACGCCCUAAACGUUGAAUACUCGACCUUAGCGAUAUACAGUUAGGGUCCAAGCGAAAGCGUUAAGUAUUCCACCUGGGAAGUACGUUCGCAAGAAUGAAACUCAAAGGAAUUGACGGGGGCCCGCACAAGCGGAGGAGCAUGUGGUUUAAUUCGAUGAUACGCGAGGAAC